This is a long non-coding RNA of Dendrobium catenatum, 554 nucleotides long. RefSeq lists it as uncharacterized. The transcript is spliced from 2 exons. NCBI's taxonomy places the organism in Eukaryota, Viridiplantae, Streptophyta, Magnoliopsida, Asparagales, Orchidaceae. The record is from RefSeq and is a predicted model, not a curated record.
CAUCAGAAACCUGUAUCCCUCUUGACGCUGAAAUAAGUAAAUGAAAAUGAUAUUAUUUUGUUUAGUGAAUCCACCUGUCUGUUAGAAAAUCCCUUUUAAUCAGUCUAAUAUAUGAGCUUUACCUGAAGUUCAUUGGCCGAAUUACGGCAGAUAAACUUACUAAAAGAGCUUGCUACCUGUUAGAGUCUGCAAGCAGGAAGAAGAAAAGAGGGCUAAGGAGGAGAAGAAGAAACAGAGCAAUGUCGAAGUUACUGUAGCAUUCUAUUUUUCAUAAGCAGCUCAUACAAUGGUAUCAAGUAUAUAUAGAUAAAGUAGGAAACACAAAAAUGAGAAGCCGUUGGACACAGACUGAAAAGUGGAUAGCGGCUGAGCAGAGAAUCAACUGCAGGUGGUCCACGCAUAUUCAGAUGGUAGUGGAGAACGAAGGGUGAAGGUGCUAACACUUACCAGAUUGUUGCAAGAAAACAAUGUUGCAUUUUUUAAGCCAUAUAAGCUUAUAUAUAUCUAUUGGUUGAAUUUUAUGAUCUAAUCUUCGUAGCGCCGUUGUUUCAUAA